RNAcentral lists this ribosomal RNA (745 nucleotides) under uncultured bacterium. RNAcentral describes it as "bacterial SSU rRNA". It matches the Rfam family "Bacterial small subunit ribosomal RNA", at positions 640 to 1383 of the family's 1533-position model. The record is from RNAcentral.
UCUAGAGUNUCGGAGAGGAAAGUGGAAUUCNUAGUGUAGCGGUGAAAUGCGUAGAUAUUAGGAAGAACACCAGUGGCGAAGGCGACUUUCUGGACGAAAACUGACGCUGAGGCGCGAAAGCCAGGGGAGCGAACGGGAUUAGAUACCCCGGUAGUCCUGGCCGUAAACGAUGGGUACUAGGUGUAGGAGGUAUCGACCCCUUCUGUGCCGGAGUUAACGCAAUAAGUACCCCGCCUGGGGAGUACGACCGCAAGGUUGAAACUCAAAGGAAUUGACGGGGGCCCGCACAAGCGGUGGAGUAUGUGGUUUAAUUCGACGCAACGCGAAGAACCUUACCAGGUCUUGACAUUGAUGGACAGAACCAGAGAUGGUUCCUCUUCUUCGGAAGCCAGAAAACAGGUGGUGCACGGUUGUCGUCAGCUCGUGUCGUGAGAUGUUGGGUUAAGUCCNNCAACGAGCGCAACCCCUAUCUUAUGUUGCCAGCACUUUGGGUGGGGACUCAUGAGAGACUGCCGCAGACAAUGCGGAGGAAGGCGGGGAUGACGUCAAAUCAUCAUGCCCCUUAUGACCUGGGCUACACACGUACUACAAUGGGAGUUAAUAGACGGAAGCGAGAUCGCGAGAUGGAGCAAACCCGAGAAACACUCUCUCAGUUCGGAUCGUAGGCUGCAACUCGCCUACGUGAAGUCGGAAUCGCUAGUAAUCGCAGGUCAGCAUACUGCGGUGAAUACGUUCCCGGGCCUUG